CUCUGUCUCAAAUAAUAAUAAUAAUAAUAAUAAUAAUAAUAAUAAUGAUACAGAUUAAUAAUAGGUCGAGACUUUUUAGAAUUGGAAUCUUAGACUUUUGGGAACAUCACAUCUGGAAGAGACCUUAAUGUCUCAUUUUCAGGGAUCCAGGGACCUUCAUGCAAGGUCUAUCCUGGAGUGCCUGGGUUUCUGGGAGGGGCCUCUAGAGGAUGGGGUAGGGGGUGCAAGAAGCAGGGUGCAGGUCUCCACCUUGAGGCCUGCUGAGCAGCUGCACUUGGGUCUGUUUUAUAUAUUCAGCUUCUCUUCUUAGAGUAAUACAAGGGUUCUGUUACUCCCAAAGCUGAGUGAGGGCCCUCUUUUUUGUUGUUGGUUUUUGUUUUGUUUUGUUUUGUUUGAGACAGAGUCUUGCUCUGUUGCCCAGGCUGGAGUGCAGUGGCAUGAUCUGGGCUCACUGCAACCUCCGCCUCCGGGGUUUAAGCUGUUCGCCUGCCUCAGCGUCCCAAGUAGCAGGGACUACAGGCGUGCACCACCAUGCCCGGCUAAUUUUUGUAUUUUUAGUAGAGACAGGGUUUCACCACCUUGGCCAGGCUGGUCUUGAACUCUUGACCUCAAGUGAUCCACCUGCCAAAGUGCUGGGAUUAUAGGCGUGCACCACCGUGUCCGGCCGGGCCCUGGUUUUUGUACACACGUGCAUUGCAGAGCUAGAGAAGGUCAUGACUUGCCCAAGCACAUAUAGCACAUCAGGGCAGACCCUGGGCUCGAACCCAGGCUUUCUGCCAGGACUGGGUUAGGCCCAGAGUUGGGGUGCUGCACGAUCAACAAGCUGGGGGAUGCUGGGAGUUCUGCUGAGUCUCUGGGUGGGGGCCAGCUCUCCCAGCAGCUGAGCUGGCGGGAGCAGAAGCUGGAGGAGGCCCAGGGGGUUGGCCCAGUGGCAGGUGGAGGCGCUGGAGCCAGCAGCCCGCGGGGUAUCCGGUUCCACAACUACGCGCCGCGCCCCCGCGCCCGUGUGCGGGAUUCACCCAGCUGACACUCUCCCGGUCCCAGAAGGUGCAGCAGCCGGCGGGUUUUGAGAGUCCCAGGUGCCCUGCACUGUGCAGGAGUGUGGACGCUGCCCCUCCAGGGCUGUGACCCCGCCUCAGGGCCUUUUCCCUGGCGCCCGCCAUCAGGGCUCUUGGCUUUGACAGGCGAUCCACCCUUCGGCUCCUCCCAGGAGCCAUAGGACCCUCCCUGCCUGCCCUUCACUCAAGUCGAGGGGCCUGAUCAGCAGGCUCUUUCCUCUCAGGCCCUCCACUCAGGGUGUCAACAGAGGUGGAUCAGAUGAGAAACCUGGAUUUCUACACACACCUGGCUACAAUGAGAUGGCACCACUCCCCUCCCCUGCAGAAGCAGACUCAGAAAAAGGUAGUUAAAACAGAAGGUUUCAAUAAAAUCGACAGUCUGAUAACAUAAUACCCAAAAGUCCAAGUUUCCAUUGAAAAUCAUUCAUCAUACCAAGAACCAGGAAAAUCUCAUACUGAAUGAAAAUAGGCAGCAAGCACACACUGGCAAUAAAAUGAGAGAAGCGCUGGGAUUGUCUGACAAACAUUUUAAAGCAAGCAAGCCUGAUGAAAAUGAUUUAGCGAGUAAUUAUGAGCACACUUGAAAUAAAUGGACAAGUAGAAAGUCUUAGCAAAUAAAUACAAGACUUAAGGGAGAACCAAAUGAAGUAUUAGAAGUGGAAAAAUACAACCACCAAAAUAAAAAGUCUGGCACAUAGGCUCAACAGCAGAAUGGAUGGUGCAGAGCAAGGAAAUCCAUCCACUGCCAAUGAAAAAGUAGAAAUUACACAAUCUUAGCAGGGAAAAAAUAGACUCGGGGAGAAAGUGAAUAGAACCUCAGGCACCUGUGAAACUACCUCAAAAGGUCUCACUUUCAUGUUGUCAUCUAUGUCUGGAAGGGGAAGAGGAAGAGGACAAGCCUGAAAACAUAAAGAAGUAAAUGGCUAAAAGCUUCCCAGAGUUGGCAAGAGACAUAAACCUAUAUGCUUAAGAAGCUGUGAGGACCCCAAAUAGGAUAAAACCCAAAGAGGUCUAUGGCAAGACACGUGAAAAAAUAAAAUGUUGGAAACUAAAGACAAAGAAAAUAUAUUGAAAGCAACAGAGAAAGGUGACACCUUACCUAGAAAGGAAAAACAAUUCCGACGAUGAUGGCUUUCUCAUCAGAAACCACGGAGGCAGAAAGAAGUUGUGCAGUGCUUUUCAAGCCGCAGAAGAAAAUUGUCAGCCCAGACUCCUCUCUCCAGCAGAAACAUCUUUCAGGGAUUAAGGAGAAGAUCAAAACAGUUUCAGAUUAAGAAAAGCUAAGGACAUCUCUGACCAGCAGUUCUACCCUAAAAGAAGGGCUAAGGGGAGUUCUCUAGACGGAAAGGAAAUGAUUAAAGAAGGAACCUUGGGACAUCGGAAAGAAAGAAAACAGCAAAAUAGGCCUUCCUUCUCCUCUUGAGUUUUCUAAACUAUGCUUGACGGUUUCAGAAAAAAAUCAUAGCACCAUUCAAUGUGGUUCUAACUCUCCAUAAAGAAAAUGUUUGAAAUGGUUAUAAACUGGGAGGGUAAAGAGACCUACAAGGGAGGUAACUCGUCUAUCAUUCACUCAAAUUGGUAAAACAAUGACACCAGUAUACCGUGUGGUUAAGAUAUAGAUGCACAGAUAUACGAAUGUCUGGAAAAACCAAGAGGGCUAUACAAACAGACAUACUCAAAAGCACUAUGGAUAAGGCAAAACACCAUUCUCAAAGAUGUUCAAGUCAUGACAGGAAGGUAAGAAAAAGAAAGCAUAUCCAGAAAACGAAACCAGGGAGAACAAACAGAAAAGGAAAAAUAAAAUGGCAGAUUUAAGCCCUACCAUGUCAAUAUCAUUAAAUAUCAAUGGCCUAAGUAUACCAGUUGCAAGACACAGGCUGGCAGAGUAGGUCAAUGGACACGAACCAACUACAUACUGGCUACAAAGAGACUAACUUCAAAUAUGAUGAUACAGGCAAGUUGAAAUGAAAAGGGUGGGAAAAGAUAUAUCAUGCAAACCUUAGCCAAAGGAAAGCAAGACUGGCUAUAUUAAUGCCAGAUAUAGUAUAUUUCAGAACAAAUAAACUAAUCAGAGACAGAGAGGGAGACUAUAUAAUGUGCAAAGGACCAAUCCACCAACUCCUCGCCUGACAAAUUCAUAAAUGUCUACGCAAGAACAACUGAAAGUACUUAACAGAGAACUAGACAAAUCCACAAAUACAGCUGUAUGCUUCAAUGUCCCCCUUUCUCAACAAUUUAUACAACAACCAGAUAGAAAAUCAGCAAGAAUACAGAAGAACCCAACAACACGAUCAACCAGCGGGACUUAAAUUGGCAAUUUUAGAACACCCAACCACACCAGAAUACACAUUGUUAUGGGAUGCAUUGUGCCCAGCCCCCCCAAAUUCAUAUGUUGAAAUCAGAACAUUAUUAGCCACUAGUGAUUUACUAAUUAAAACAAUGAGAAAUUGCUACGUACCUAUCAGAAUGGCCAACAUAAAAGUGUGACCACAUCAAGUGCUGUCAAGGAUUCAGAGAAAGCUGGAUCACUCAUACAUUGCUGGUGGGGAUGUAAAAGAUUACAGCCCACUCUGGAGAAUAUCUGUAUAAUUUUUACUUUUAAAACUCUAUGUGCAACUACCAUACCACCUCGGAAUUACAUUCCCUGCAUUUAUCACAGAGAAAUAGAAUCUUAUGUUCACACAAAACCCAUGUACUUCAAGUUUAUAGCAGCCUUGUUUUUAAUAGCCAAAACUGGGGAAACAAUGUAUACACGACUUUUGUGAGAUGAAUGGUUAAACUGUGGUAUAUAUCCACAGCAUCAAAUAGUCCUCAGUAAUUUUUUUUAAAAAAACAACAAAUGAUUGAUACCCACAAUAACCUGGACGAAUCUCCACAGAAUUAUGGUGAGUGGACGAAGGGUAAUCCCAAAGGUUACAUGUAGAAUUCCAUUUAAGUAACAUUCUUGAAAUGAAUAAAUUAUAAGAGUGGGGAAUAGAUUAGUAGUUGCCAGGGGUUAAGGAGGGAAGGAGGAGCAGCACUGAAUAGAAGGGGUCAUAACUAUAAAAAGGCAACAUGAUGAAUCCCGGUGUUGACGGAAAUGUUCUGUACCUUGCUUGUAUAAAUGUCAAUCUCCUGGUACUGUGGCAUUUGCAAUAUUUGCAAAUUUUAUUUAUUUAUUCAUUCAUUCAUUUUUCUGAGACGGAGUCUUCCUCUGUCGCCCAGACUGGAGUGCAGUGGCGCGAUCUUGGCUCACUGCAACCUCCGUCUCCUGGGUUCGCACCAUUCUCCUGCCUCAGCCUCCUGAGUAGCUGGGACUAGAGGUGCCCACCACCAUACCCAGCUAAUUUUUUAUAUUUUUAGUAGAGACGGGGUUUCACUGUGUUAGCCAGGAUGGUCUCGAUCUCCUGACCUCAUGAUCCACCCACUUCAGCUUCCCAAAGUGCUGGGAUUACAGGUGUGAGCCACCACGCCCGGCCACUAUUUGCAAAUAUUACCAUUUUGGAAAUAUUACCAAGAUGUUACCAUUGGAGGAAACGGAGUAAGGCGUACAAGGGACCUCUCUUUUUCUGAGUUAAGAUUGUAUGUGAAUUAUUAAAACGUAAAAAUUAACUUUAAGAAAGCUAAGUGUAUUUCUCCUUGAGUGAUCAUGCCUUUGCUUAGAAAACAUUAAGGCAACAAUAAUUUUCCAAAACCCUUUAUUUUCUUGAAGAUAGUUUUAACAAAAGCUGUGCUUAGGGGUUUUCCUAGAAGUUUAAAACUUCUACUAAUCCUUACUGUUCUUCUUUGAGAACCCUCCAGGAUUUUAUUUAUUUAUUUUACACCUUUCAAAAGCAUAGAGACAAAACCCGGCAACUGGCAUAUAAUACUGUAUUAGUCUGAGUUAUCCAGAGGACAAGAUACACACACACACACACACACACACACACACACACACACGCAUGCACGCACGCAGAGAAGCCCAAGUUCUACUCUGAGUAAGCUCUAUACCUAGGAGAGUCGAAUAUAGUUCAAGACCAAGUCCAAGGCUUAAGGCAGAAGACUGAUGUCCCAGCUCAAAGACAGUGGAGCAGAAACCUUUCUUAACCCAUCAUCUUAUUCAAGCCGUCCAUGGGUUGGAUGAGGCCCACCCACACUCGGGAGGGCAAUCUGCUUCACUCAGUUUACUGAUUCAAAUGUCAAUCUCUUCCAGAAACACCCUCAAAGACACAGUGAGAAAUAAUGUCUAACCAAAUGUCUGGGCACCCCCGACCCAGGCAAAUUGACACAAAAAUUAAUUUUCACAAAUACUAUCAAUAGAAGUGACUAAUAAAUGUGGCAUCAUGUCCUGCCUGUUUAUCCCAUGACAAUUAGUAUAGUCGAGCGUAACAUUGGCUUCCGUUCCCUUAUAGUAGCAACAUGUAGGAGUUUCAUUUAAAGUGAGGAUAAUUUUGACCUUACAGAGUUUCUCCCUACCCCUAUCUACCAUUGCCACUUGUGGAUUGUCAUUUUGCCAUGACUUUCUUUUAAAAAAUAUCAAUAAGCUCUAUACUUCAGUAAUGUAAGUUUGAAUUUCAUCCUGGCUGCAUAAGUCACUUUCCAUUUUGACAAAGUCUAGAAAUAUUUUUCUCCAUCUCCUUGAAUAUGGGUAAUGGAUACCUAUUGUGGGGCCCACUCUCAAUCUCAUGGUUUUAUUUUAAUUUAGUUCUCAAUAGAUAUGCCUCAGCUGCUUAAAAACCAUUGAAAAUGGCCCAUGGCCUUGUCCAUCUAACAGAGUCCAGUAAAAUCCUGACAAUGGAAUGGGGAGAGAGAAAGUGAGAACCACCAAACUCAGCACAAAACGACUGAGUUUAAACCUCUGUGCUAAGAGAUGAUCAGAGUCUAUCAUGGCUUCUAGUAGCAUGAGACCAUGUCUCACGAAUGACCCUAGGCUCCCAUGACAAUGCCUACCUAAGAAAGCUCAAGGCUGCCAGGGGAACUUACUUUAGUCUAGCCAAUACUUGAUGAUGGCAGUUUCAGGAUCUUUCUUUCUUAUAGCACUUACUAAGAAGGGAAUCCUUCCUCCAUCCCUUUGAUAUAUGUGUGUAUCUCCUAGGGACUUCAAUGUAUCUUUGCCCAGGAUCUGAAAGGCAAUACUUUUGAGGUGUAGUUCUCAGGAAGGACUGAGCCUCUGUCUUCCAGUCUCUGUGGGAGGUUAGAAUCCUAACUUCUAAUAUUGCCAGCUGGCAGACACAGCUGUCCUGAUGAGGCAGACAUUUAAAAUGACCAAUCUUUUGUAAUGUUUCACUUGUGCCCUGCCCCCUGCCCUCUCCCCUGCCUCUCUCUCCCAUUAGAAUGCCAUCACCUCUGCACAAAUGCGAACAGAACCAGCCCCUUCCUCUACGGUCAGUAGUUACUGAAUAAAAUUGGUUUUCAUCGAUUUGACUAAUGUCUGAUAUAUCUUUGACAAAAUAAGUGUGAAUGAUUGUUUUUAGAGACACGGCAGCUGCAAAGAGAGGCACAGACAUGGCAGGAGAGGGAGGGGUCACCUGACCCUUCUCAUUUCAUAGGCAUCUAUUCCUGCCUGGUGUUUAUGAGCCUGAGACUUGGCAGGGCUGUCCUGGUAUAUAACUCCAUGGCUCUGCAGCAAGACUCGAAUAGGCUGGUGGUGACACUUGGUGUGACCAGUCACCUUCAAAGAUGCCAUUAAGGGUUCACAAGAAAAUGAAGGGAAACAGAAAAACUGAUUAUGAAAGUUGUUGCCUCUCCUGCUUCUUCAUACAGAGUGUGUAUGAUAUUGCUGUGUGAUGUUAGACUGCAACUUAGCCCAACAGCUGUUCUAGUAAUUGGCAGUUUCUCAUCGAGUUAAGCCUACCUGAUAAAGAAGCACGCUUACAUUUAUUGAUUACCCCCGUAAAAUGAACAAUACAUCCAACAAGGCUUCUAGCAAAAAUGUUCUUAUUAACCUCCUUUUUAUACUAAGGAAAAACUGGGUACAACACAAAUCUUCAUCAACAGAAGAAUACCAACUGUUAUACAGUCAUAAAACGAUCCCAGAAGUUCACUCCAUACCAUCAAAACCAGGAACCCACACUGAUGCCCCUGAUGGCAGAAAAUCAUGAUACAAAAAUGAGAGAAACGAGAGAGAGAAAAUGUACUAGAGUCAUGGUAGUGGGUAAAAGCCAAAGAGCUCAGUUUCUACUCAUGAUAUUCAUUAGAAGAACCAAAGGAACAUGAGCCAACAGCUGUAAGGGUCCAGGUCUGCACAAGGUGCCUGUUGGGUGCAGGGUUCUGUUGGCUCCAGUGAUAUAUCUCAGGUGGGCUAAUUUUUACGGACAUAGCCGCUGCAAAAAUCUAUCAAACAAUAAUAAAGGGAUAGCUACUUGCAUGCUAAUUUACCAUUGUAUAGAAGGGAGAACAGGCAUCAGAUUGUUUUCGUCAAAUAAAAGCAAAACCAAGAUUUAUGAAGAAAAGAGGAAAGAGGAAAAAAAAUCGCCUGGGACCUUUGUGAUUUUGCUCCCCUUGGAUAAGAGACUUGACAGAAAGCUUUCAAAGAGGUCACUGUGGCCUGUCUUCUUGAGACACACGACACUUGUUCACCACGGAAAACAAUUACAGAUGUUGGAGGACUUUAAAAUAUCCUAGUUUAGCAGUUCAUCCUAUGCCACAGAAUCUGUGUGUGAUGUCCACCAUGUCCUUCUGUGGUACACCCCUUCAGUUAAGCCAGGAGGGUGCCUCUCCCCUCAGUGGAAUAUCAUACAUCAAUGUGUAGAAAGUUUGUUGUGCUGGCAAGUAAAUGACAAAAGGGACAUUGAUAGAAUUAGGAAACAAAUUGGAAUAUGAUCUGUUACCGUUCCCAUGGAAGAUAAAUUUGCAGAAUAUACUCAAAUUAGAAGCAUUAAAUAAAUGCUGUAAUUUAAAAUGGCACAUCCCAUUCUCUACACUACAGAAAUAUCUGCAGGAGUGACCAAAGAUAUGUGUACAACUAUGGUAGAGAUUGCAGCAUCAGUUAUAAUCCUAAAACCAUGAAACCCACCUUAUUUCAAAAACAUCUUGAAAAGGGUUAAAUAAAUCACGCACAAACUGAGGAAGAAAUGCUGUUUUCACAAACAAUGGUGAGGCUCACCAUGAGGAUGACUGAUUCCACACUGUUCACAUUUGAUAGAGCAAUCAGUUCACCUCCUGAGUUCAAGCGCUCCUCCUACCUCAGCCUUUCAAAGAGCUGGAACUACAGGCGGGUGUCAACACGUUCGGAUAACUUUUGCAUUUUUUUGGUAGAGAUGGGGUUUCGCCAUGUUGGCCAGGCUGGUCUUGAACCCCUGGGCUCAAGCAAUCCGCCCACCCCAGCCUCCCAAAGUGCUGGAAUCACAGGUGUGAGCCACUAUGCCCAGCCAGAUUUUAUUUUUCUCUGAAAAGAUGGUACAUUUACAUGGUUCAAAAUUCAGAUAGGGCCAGGCGUGAGCCCUGGAGUUCGAGACCAGCCUGGGCAAAAGAGAGCCCUGUCUCUACUUUAAAAAAAAAAAAAAAAAAAAAAAUUCAAAUAGUACAGAAAAUUAUAAAGUUAAAAUAGGCAUCUCUUAUAUUCCUGUCUCCCAAUCUCACCCUGUAGGCAAUCUGUGGGAUGCUGUUCCCGUGACUCCUUCCAGGGAUAUUUUAGAUCAAGUCUUCCUCUUGUCGCCCAGGCUGGAGUGCAAUGGCAUGAUCUUGGCUUACUGCAACCUCCACCUCUCAAGUUCAAGUAAUUCUCCUGCCUCAGCCUCCCAGAUAGCUAUGAUUACAGGUGCCCACCAUCAUGCCUGGCUAAUUUUUGUAUUUUUAGUAGAGAUGGGGUUUCACCAUGUUGGCCAGACUGGUCUAGAACUCCUGACCUCAGGUCAUCUGCCUGCCUCAGCCUCCCAAAGUGCUGGGAUUACAGGUGUGACCUCCAUACUCGGCCUUUUUAUUUAUUUAUUUUUUGAGAUGGAAUCUUGCUCUGUCACCCUUGCGGGAGUGCAGUGGCACAAUCUCAGCUCACUGCAACCUCAGCCUCCCAAGUUCAAGCGAUUCUCCUGCCUCAGCCUCUCUAGUAGCUAGGACUACAGGCGUGUGCCACCACACCCGGCCUCCCUUCCCAUUUUUUUAAUGCCAAAGAGAACAUAUUAUAUAUACACUUUGUUCUGUACCUUGCUACCUGUCCUUGAUAGUUUGGGGACCAUCCCUUAUCCCUUAUCAAUAUAUAAAGAGCUUCUUUUUCAUUGUUUUCCCCAGAGAUCUAGUAUUCCACCAGAUAUGCCUAAAUUUAUAUAAUCCAUCCCUUACUGAUGGGCCUUGUAGCAGGUAGACAUAGUGGGUGAACUGUGUCUCCCAAAAAAGUAUGUUCAAGUCCUAACCCCCGACACCUGUGAAUGUGAUCUUAUUUGGAAAUAGGGCAUUUGCAGAUAAUAUCCUCCUGGAUUUAGGGUGGGGCCUAAAUCCAAUGAUGGGCAUCCUAAUAAGGAAAGGAGAGGACACACAUGGAAACACAGGGAGGAGGCAGAGAUUGGCGUGAUGCUGCCACACACCAAGGAAUGCUCGGGGCCACCAGAAGCCUGAAGUGGCAAGGAUUCUGGCCUAGACCCUCUGGAAGGAGCAUGGCCCUACUGGCAUCUUGAUUUCAGAUGUCCAGCCUCUAGAACUGGGAGAGAAUAAAUACAUUCAGGUGGUUUAAAGCACCCAGUGUGUGGUCACUUGUUACAGCAGCCCUAGCAAGCUAAUACACAGGUAGACUUGUUUUGAGACGAAGUCUUGCUUUGUUGCCAGGCUGGAGUGCAGUGGCACAAUCUCGGCUCACUGCAACCUCUGCCUCCUGGGUUCAAGUGAUUCUCCUGCCUCAGCCCCCCGAGUAGCUGGGACUACAGGCGCAUUCCACCACGCCCAGCUAAUUUUUAGAAGAGGCGGGGUUUCACCUUGUUGGCCCGGAUGGUCUUCAUCUGUUGGCCUCGUGAUCGGCCCACCUCAGCCUCUCAGAGUGCUGGGAUUACAGGCGUGAGCCACUGCACCCCGGCCAGGUAGACUUCUAAGAUGGCUCUCAAUGAUCCUUGCCUCCUGGUAUCCACACCCUCCACUUAGUGCGGACAGGACUUGUGACUUCUACUCUGAAGACCCAGCCAAGGGAUGGGAUCAUUUCUGGAAUUAAAACUAUGACUGCUAUCUUGCCACAAUCACGUUUGCUGGCUUCAAUGAAGCAACUGCAAAGAUGUGAACUAUGCAGAGGCCUACGUGGAAAGAAAAUGAGAGUGACCUCUGUCCAACAGCCACGAGGAACAGAAUCAUGCCCAAAACCACGUGAGCGAGCUUGGAAGCAAACGCUUUCCCUGCUGGGCCUUAAGAUGACAGUGCGGCCUCGACUGACACCUUGACUGCAGCCUGUGAGAGGCCUGUGACCCAGCUGAGCUGCACCAGAUUCCUGACCACAGAAGCGGAGAUGACAAAUGCAGGUCAUUUUGGGCGGGUGUGGUGGCUCAUGCCUGUAAUCCCAGCACUUUGGGAGGCUGAGGUAGGCGGAUCACCUGAGGUCAGGAGUUUGAGACCAGCCUGGCCAACAGGAUGAAACCUUGUCUCUACUAAAAAUACAAAAAUUAGCCAGGCAUGGUGGCGGAAGCCUGUAAUCCCAGCUACUUGGGAGGCUGAGGCAGGAGAAUCGCUUAAACCUGGGAGGUGGAGGUUGCAGUGAGCUAAGAUUGCACCAUUGCACUCUAGCCUGGGCAACAAGAGUGAAAAUCUGUCUCAAAAAAAAAUAAAAAUACAAAUAAAUAAAGUACCUACUUACAGGCUUUGUAUGGUUGGCUAAAAAAAAAAAAAAAAAAAAAAGAAAAAAAAAAAAAAACAGUAUCUGUCUACAUUCAAGCUGCGGUGAGGAAAAAUUGGUCUUUUCCCUACUCCAGUCCACUCAGUCCACAGAGCAUGGUAUCUUUCUCACUCCCAGCUCAUAGAAAUCGACAACUAUUAAGCACCUACUGUGUGCCCAUGAUGCAUUUCAGUAGCUUUCAAUCACCAAUGGAAUAAAGCCCCACCCUUCGCCUGUCAUUCCUACUUGCCACGGCUUUCGUAAGCCAUGUGGAGGGAAUGGGACUUUUCAUAUAUUAAGGGGGUCUUAUGUGCCAGGCUUUGCAGGGAGCACUGCUCCAAAGAAGUAGCCACCCUGACUAAAAGCAUGGAUGCUGGAGCCAGACUGCCUGGGUUCAAAUCCCAGCUCUGCCACUUACCAACCAUGUGACUUUGAACAAAUUAUAUAAUUUCUCUGCAUUUCUCAUUUUCGAAACAGGGAUGAGUACUGCUAUAAACAUUUGUGUCCACCCCCACCUCCAAAUUCAUACUGAAACCUAACCCCUAGUAUGAUGGUAUUUGGAGGUGAGUUCUUUGGAAGGUAAUUAUGUCAUAAGCGUAGAGCCCUCACAAACAGUAUUGCCCUUAUAAGGAAGCCCCAGCCAGGUGUGGUGGCUCACGCCUAUAAUCCCAGCACUUUGGGAGGCUGAGGCAGGUGGAUCAUGAGGUCAGGAGUUUGAGACCAGCCUGGCCAAUAAGGCAAAACACCAUCUUGACUAAAAAUACAAAAAUUAGCUGGGCGUGGUGGCAUGUGCCUGUAGUCCCAGCUACUUGGGAGGCUAAGGCAGGAGAAUUGCUUGAACCCAACAGGCAGAGGUUAUAGUGAGCCAAGAUCACACUCCAGCCUGGGCAAUAAGAGCAAAACUAUCUUUAAAAAAAAAAAAGGCAGUGCCAUUCCCAUGUGGUGGCUCAUGCCUUUAAGCCCAGCACUUUGGGCGGCCAAAGCAGGAGGAUCACUUGAGGCCAGGAGUUUGAGAUCAGCCUGGUCAAUAUAGCAAGACUCCAUCUCUUAAAAAAAAAAAAAAAAAAAAAAAAAAGUCCCCAGAGUACUCUAUUGCCCCUUCUACCAUGUGAGGUUACAGCAAAAAGACGGCCUCACCAGACACCGAAUCUGCUGGUGCCUUGGACUUCCCAGCCUCCAGAACUGUGAGCAAAAAAUUUCUUUUGUUUAUAAACUACCCAGGCUAUGUUAUUCUGUCAUAGUCCCAAAUAGACUAAAACAAGUACUUACUGGCCAGGUGCGGUGGCUCACACUUGUAAUCCCAGCAUUUUAGGAGGCCAAGGCAGGCUGAUCACUUGAGGUCAGGAAUUUGAGACCAGCCUGGCCAACAUGAUGAAACCCCGUCUCUACUAAAAAUCAAAAAAAUUAGCCGGAAGUACUGGCACACGUCUGUAAUCACAACUACUCGGAGGCUGAGGCAGAAGAACUGCUUGAACGCAGGAGGCAGAGGUUGCAGUGAGCUGAGAUCAUGCCACUGCAUUCCAGCCUGGGCCACAGAGCGAGACUGUCUCAAAACACAAAAAAAACAAGUCCUUACCUCAUGGGGUUGUAGAGAUGAUGCAAUGAGUUUUAUAAGUGCAUAGAAUAGUGCCUAGCAGAGAGUUAAGCAUUACUUUAGCAAUAAACAAUAAGCAUUACUUAAAGGCAACAGGAAGGCCCAAAGGAGCAUCAUAAGGGACCUCCCAAGGCCCUACAGCUAUUAAGUCUAUCCAGAUUCUCUCUUUUCCACACUGAUUCCCACCUCAAACACACUUUGCUAACCUUUGUGUUGGUUAUCUAUUGCUGCAUAACCUUACCAGAAACUUAGCGACUUAACACAAUACAUUUACCAUCUGUUCCUAUGGGACAGUCUGGGCACAGCUUAGCUGGUCCUCUGCAAGGCUGCAGUCAGUGUUGGUCAGGCCUGGGGUCUCACCUGAAGGCUUACCUGGGAGUGAUCAGCCUCCAAGCUUGUGUGGUUGCUGGCAGCAUUUGCUUUCUUGCAGACUGCUGGACUGAGCUUCAGUUUCUUGUUGGCUGUCAGAGGCUACCUCAGUUCCUAGCCACCUGACCCUCUCCCAAGGGCAGCUCACACAACAUGACAGCUUCCUUCUUCAAAGCCAGCAAGAGAAUUUCUCAGCAAGGCAGAUGUUGCAGUCUUACAUAAGGCAACCAUGAAAAUAACAUCUUGUCACCUUUGUGGCACUCUACUGGUUAGCAGUCACAGGUCUAGGCCAUCUCAAGGGGCAGGGAGUACAUAAGGCUGUGAACAGCAGGUGGGGAUCACAGUGACCACCUGGGAGUCUAUCUGCCACACCUCCCAGUGCAUCCAAAUUCUGUUGUGCAGAGGGCAAGUGAGGUCUAGCAUACCCCCCAAGAAAGCAGCCAUCUUCUACCAUCCACCCACCAGUUUGUAAACUCCAGUCAGGGGUGUAAUUGAAGUGAUGCCUGGUUUGGGAUUGAGUUUUCCUGGAGAUUCUGGUCCUGUAAUGAGUUUUUUCCAGCUGGGAUUCCAGUUAGUGAUGGACAGCAUCAAGCUGUCCCUUGCUCCUGGCCCCAGACCCCACAAGGUGCUUUUCAGGCUAGAUUCCUGAGGGCUGUGUCAUCAGCUGUGCCACCUCCUCCUCCCUACCAUGAUGAACUGUUCUGGGUACUUACCUGACUCCAGAGAAAGGUCAUUAAGGUCAAACAAUGCAAUGUGCAUCUGCUAGUGCCUCAUCCGAGUGACGCUCAGGUGAAGGAACAGCCUGUGGCCACACGUCUAACCAGGGGAUAGCCUAGAUCCUAAGGCCAGGUCUGUCUCCACAAUCCAAGUGCUGAUCUUCAAUGGUACAUACUUUUUUUUUUUUUCCUUUUGAGACAGUCUUGCUCUGUUGCCCAGGCUAGAGUACAGUGGCAUGAUCUCAGCUCACUGCAACCUCCACUUCCUGGAGGCAAUUCUCAUGCCUCAGCUUCUCAAGUAGCUGGGAUUACAGGCGUGCGCCACCAUGCCUGGCUAAUUGUUGUAUUUUUAGUAGACGGGGUUUCACCAUGUUCGCCAGGCUGGUCUCGAACUCCUAACCUCAAGUAAGCCACCCACUUCGGCCUCCCAAAGUGCUGGGAUUGUGGGCAUGAGCCACCACACCCAGCCAUGGUACACACUUCUAAUAAAGCUUCCUCUACAUCUAAGCUUUCUGAUUUCCACCCUCCAAGUACUUAAAACUGACUCGAUGUGAAGUAAUGCUAUGUGAAAUCGACAUAAAAAAGUUACUGCUCCCGAAGAUCCUUUAAUGCAAUCUCCUUACCCUUAAUUCAAUGGGCAAGAGAAUCUUCAAUUUUCAUUUUCUUUCUCCUCUCUACAGUUUCUUAAUCAGAGUGGCUAUUUCCAUAACAAUAAAAACUGCUUCUUACAGAAUCCUCAGGCAAAAGAAGUGUUGUGGCUUUUUUUCAUUUUUAAUUCUUUUAGAGAAUUCUCUAGGGUCUCACUGCUGCCUAGACUGGAGUGCGAGGCCGUGAUCAUAGCUCACUGCAGCCUCAAACUCCUGGGCUCAAGCAAUUCUCCCACCUCAGCCUCGCAAGUAGUUAGGAUUCCAAGCAUGCACCACCACCACACUAAUUUUUUUUUUUU
Molecule: long non-coding RNA, 14425 nt
Filed under: Homo sapiens (human)
Lineage: Eukaryota; Metazoa; Chordata; Mammalia; Primates; Hominidae
Description: non-protein coding lnc-SPATA21-4:9
Source: RNAcentral